This 519-nucleotide ribosomal RNA is filed under the name uncultured eukaryote. Its description in RNAcentral is "SSU rRNA". It matches the Rfam family "Eukaryotic small subunit ribosomal RNA", at positions 1161 to 1699 of the family's 1831-position model. The record is from RNAcentral.
AGGGCACCACCAGGAGUGGAGCCUGCGGCUUAAUUUGACUCAACACGGGGAAACUUACCCGGCCUGGACACUGGAAGGAUUGACAGAUUGAGAGCUCUUUCUUGAUUCAGUGGGUGGUGGUGCAUGGCCGUUCUUAGUUGGUGGAGCGAUUUGUCUGGUUAGUUCCGAUAACGAACGAGACUCUAGCCUAUUAAAUAGGCUCUCGGCUUUUAAACGCCGGGAGGACUUCUUAGAGGGACGGGUGGCGGUUCAGCCGCACGAAAGAGAGCAAUAACAGGUCUGUGAUGCCCUUUGUUGUCCGGGGCCGCACGCGCGCUACACUGAAGAGAUCAGCGUGCUUUACGUUCCUGCUCCGACCGGAGUGGGGAACCCAGUGAACCUUCUUCGUGAUUGGGAUAGAAGAUUGUAAUUAUUCUUCUUGAACGAGGAAUUCCCAGUAAAUGCGAGUCAUAAGCUCGCGUUGAUUACGUCCCUGCCCUUUGUACACACCGCCCGUCGCUACUACCGAUUGAACGAUUU